CCCUUAGAGUUUGAUCCUGGCUCAGGAUGAACGCUAGCUACAGGCUUAACACAUGCAAGUCGAGGGGAAACGACAUCGAAAGCUUGCUUUUGAUGGGCGUCGACCGGCGCACGGGUGAGUAACGCGUAUCCAACCUGCCCACCACUUGGGGAUAACCUUGCGAAAGUAAGACUAAUACCCAAUGACGUCUCUAGAAGACAUCUGAAAGGGAUUAAAGAUUUAUCGGUGAUGGAUGGGGAUGCGUCUGAUUAGCUUGUUGGCGGGGUAACGGCCCACCAAGGCGACGAUCAGUAGGGGUUCUGAGAGGAAGGUCCCCCACAUUGGAACUGAGACACGGUCCAAACUCCUACGGGAGGCAGCAGUGAGGAAUAUUGGUCAAUGGGCGAGAGCCUGAACCAGCCAAGUAGCGUGCAGGAUGACGGCCCUAUGGGUUGUAAACUGCUUUUAUAAGGGAAUAAAGUGAGUCUCGUGAGACUUUUUGCAUGUACCUUAUGAAUAAGGACCGGCUAAUUCCGUGCCAGCAGCCGCGGUAAUACGGAAGGUCCGGGCGUUAUCCGGAUUUAUUGGGUUUAAAGGGAGCGUAGGCCGGAGAUUAAGCGUGUUGUGAAAUGUAGACGCUCAACGUCUGCACUGCAGCGCGAACUGGUUUCCUUGAGUACGCACAAAGUGGGCGGAAUUCGUGGUGUAGCGGUGAAAUGCUUAGAUAUCACGAAGAACUCCGAUUGCGAAGGCAGCUCACUGGAGCGCAACUGACGCUGAAGCUCGAAAGUGCGGGUAUCGAACAGGAUUAGAUACCCUGGUAGUCCGCACGGUAAACGAUGGAUGCCCGCUGUUGGUCUGAAUAGGUCAGCGGCCAAGCGAAAGCAUUAAGCAUCCCACCUGGGGAGUACGCCGGCAAC
RNAcentral lists this ribosomal RNA (899 nucleotides) under uncultured bacterium. Its description in RNAcentral is "bacterial SSU rRNA". It matches the Rfam family "Bacterial small subunit ribosomal RNA", at positions 1 to 892 of the family's 1533-position model. The record is from RNAcentral.